CUUCAGAGGAUACCAGGCUGAGGAUCAAUGGGGAUUCAGUUCUUACUUCCGGACUUUAUAUUUUCUAAGGCUUAUGGAUUUACGCCUUUAUAUUUCCUAAGGCUUACGGUUAUACUAUAGUGUUACGUAGUGUUGUCGGGAGCAUUUAUUGGUGCAGCAGUUACUUGCAUCCUGAGUGUUGCAGGGUGUGGCUGUUACUCUGCACUCGUGUACCCAGGCAGGUUUUUACACACCUUUUCAGGCACUUGUGUACCCAGGCAGGUUUUUACACACCUUUUCAGGCACUUGUGUACCCAGGCAGGUUUUUACACACCUUUUCAGGCACUUGUGUACCCAGGCAGGUUUUUACACACCUUUUCAGGCACUUGUGUACCCAGGCAGGUUUUUACACACCUUUUCAGGCACUUGUGUACCCAGGCAGGUUUUUACACACCUUUUCAGGCAAGGUAUUUUGCUUUCAUAUCUUCACCUUAGUUUCAGGAUGUCAUUUUCACCUUUUGUAGAUUUUUUGUAUAUUGCAAACAUUUAUUUUACUAAACUUCUACAAAUUUUGGUGAUUUUCCUUCCAUACUCUGUCUUUCACUACAGUGGUAAUAUAUGUAUAUCUCCAUAGUAAAACUCUAAUGCUAAUAA
Eriocheir sinensis (Chinese mitten crab) is the source of this 633-nucleotide long non-coding RNA. RefSeq lists it as uncharacterized. The record is from RefSeq and is a predicted model, not a curated record. The transcript is spliced from 2 exons. NCBI's taxonomy places the organism in Eukaryota, Metazoa, Arthropoda, Malacostraca, Decapoda, Varunidae.